RNAcentral lists this ribosomal RNA (519 nucleotides) under uncultured bacterium. Its description in RNAcentral is "bacterial SSU rRNA". It matches the Rfam family "Bacterial small subunit ribosomal RNA", at positions 28 to 531 of the family's 1533-position model. The record is from RNAcentral.
GAUGAACGCUAGCGGCAGGCCUAAUACAUGCAAGUCGAACGGAUAUAUGUUUUUCGGAAUAUAUAUUAGUGGCGCACGGGUGAGUAACACGUACAUAACUUGCCCUCAAGCGGGGGAUAGCCUUGGGAAACUGAGAGUAAUACCCCAUAGAAUUAUUGGACGGCAUCGUUUGAUAAUUAAAACUACGGUGUUUGGGGAUAGAUGUGCGUCUGAUUAGCUAGUUGGUGAGGUAACUGCUCACCAAGGCGACGAUCAGUAGGGGGCGUGAGAGCGUGGCCCCCCACACGGGUACUGAGACACGGACCCGACUCCUACGGGAGGCAGCAGUAAGGAAUAUUGGUCAAUGGAGGGAACUCUGAACCAGUCAUGCCGCGUGAAGGAUGACGGCCCUCUGGGUUGUAAACUUACUUUUGGUAGUGGGGCGGAAAAAACGGGAAGUUUAUUCCUGGACGUGACGGUACCAUCAGAAUAAGCACCGGCUAACUCCGUCGCCACGCAGCCGCGGUAAUGUAUCGUACG